UGGAGGAAAACUAAUUAGUACCUGUUCCUAUCUAUCUCUCUCAAAAUUUCUGUUCUUAUCAAGCAUUUAAAAGCUUUUUACGUUUCCUCUCGAGAUAUAUUGUUCUUACCAAUUAAUGUGUAAACAUCAAUUGUUCUUUGUACAUUUUUCAUCAAGCACAUUAGAGCGGACUUUACAAUGUACACAAAAAUACUGUUUCUGUAUCAUUAAAUUCUUUCCUAAUUUACAAGCUUUUGAACAGAAUGUAGUAGAAAAUGUUUGAGUCGUGUAUGAAAGAUCUGUGUUACUUGACAUCUCCAUAUAAUAUGUGCAUAAAUGGUUGACUCCAAGUUAAAGUAUGGAUAAACACAAAAGUCACUGAAAUAUAAUUUACAUAUGGGAAUAAAUCUGUCCAUGUUUGGUGGAAUUCUGUCAAGUCCAUUUUAACCCAGUUACUGAUUUACAUUGUACAUAAAGAGUAAGGCAGCAUCACAUAGAACAGAAGUGAUCCUUUUUGUGUUUGUACUUAUGCUGUCCCCUAAACAUAAAGUGUGACUUGAAAACUGCAGAUGACAAAAUAUAUCAUUGUGUGUAGCCAUUUACAG
This 584-nucleotide long non-coding RNA is filed under the name Mytilus galloprovincialis (Mediterranean mussel). Lineage: Eukaryota; Metazoa; Mollusca; Bivalvia; Mytilida; Mytilidae. The record is from RNAcentral.